RNAcentral lists this non-coding RNA (97 nucleotides) under bovine gut metagenome. The record is from RNAcentral.
UCAUAUAGGGGAGCUGGAUAACCGUUCCGGCUGAGAGGAGGGCGCGAAGCCCGAAAACCCUGGAACCUGAUACGGGUAAUGCCGGCGUAGGGAAAAC